AAGUCGUAAACAAGGUUUCCGUAGGUGAACCUGCGGAAGGAUCAUUUAGAAUGAGAGCCGGACCAUGAUCGUGGGCGAAAGCUCGCACAGUGCCAGUAAGCGUCCCGUAAACCUCCACCCUUGUGUAUUAUUCUUCUGUUGCUUUGGCAGGCCGCGACCCCUCUGGGGGAGCGCUGGCUUUCGGCUGGAGAGUGCCUGCCAGGGGACCAAAUCUCUGUAAUUUAAUUGCCGUCUGAGUACUACGAAAAUUAGUUAAAA
This 258-nucleotide unclassified non-coding RNA is filed under the name plant metagenome. Its description in RNAcentral is "partial contains small subunit ribosomal RNA and internal transcribed spacer 1". The stretch from base 1 to 47 matches the Rfam family "Eukaryotic small subunit ribosomal RNA", at positions 1786 to 1831 of the family's 1831-position model. The record is from RNAcentral.